UGCAAGUCGAGCGGAACGAGUUAUCUGAACCUUCGGGGAACGAUAACGGCGUCGAGCGGCGGACGGGUGAGUAAUGCCUAGGAAAUUGCCUUGAUGUGGGGGAUAACCAUUGGAAACGAUGGCUAAUACCGCAUGAUGCCUACGGGCCAAAGAGGGGGACCUUCGGGCCUCUCGCGUCAAGAUAUGCCUAGGUGGGAUUAGCUAGUUGGUGAGGUAAUGGCUCACCAAGGCGACGAUCCCUAGCUGGUCUGAGAGGAUGAUCAGCCACACUGGAACUGAGACACGGUCCAGACUCCUACGGGAGGCAGCAGUGGGGAAUAUUGCACAAUGGGCGCAAGCCUGAUGCAGCCAUGCCGCGUGUAUGAAGAAGGCCUUCGGGUUGUAAAGUACUUUCAGCAGUGAGGAAGGGGGUGUCGUUAAUAGCGGCAUCUCUUGACGUUAGCUGCAGAAGAAGCACCGGCUAACUCCGUGCCAGCAGCCGCGGUAAUACGGAGGGUGCGAGCGUUAAUCGGAAUUACUGGGCGUAAAGCGCAUGCAGGUGGUUUGUUAAGUCAGAUGUGAAAGCCCGGGGCUCAACCUCGGAACUGCAUUUGAAACUGGCAAACUAGAGUACUGUAGAGGGGGGUAGAAUUUCAGGUGUAGCGGUGAAAUGCGUAGAGAUCUGAAGGAAUACCAGUGGCGAAGGCGGCCCCCUGGACAGAUACUGACACUCAGAUGCGAAAGCGUGGGGAG
This 732-nucleotide ribosomal RNA is filed under the name Vibrio sp. Its description in RNAcentral is "bacterial SSU rRNA". It matches the Rfam family "Bacterial small subunit ribosomal RNA", at positions 56 to 768 of the family's 1533-position model. The record is from RNAcentral. Lineage: Bacteria; Pseudomonadati; Pseudomonadota; Gammaproteobacteria; Vibrionales; Vibrionaceae.